CAGCCGCCGCGGGAAUACGGAGGGAGCUAGCGUCAUUCGGAAUUACUGGGCGUAAAGCGCACGUAGGCGGCUUUGUAAGUUAGAGGUGAAAGCCUGGAGCUCAACUCCAGAAUUGCCUUUAAGACUGCAUCGCUUGAAUCCAGGAGAGGUGAGUGGAAUUCCGAGUGUAGAGGUGAAAUUCGUAGAUAUUCGGAAGAACACCAGUGGCGAAGGCGGCUCACUGGACUGGUAUUGACGCUGAGGUGCGAAAGCGUGGGGAGCAAACAGGAUUAGAUACCCGCGUAGUCCCUGUCUCUUAUAC
This 301-nucleotide ribosomal RNA is filed under the name uncultured bacterium. RNAcentral's name for it is "partial 16S ribosomal RNA". It matches the Rfam family "Bacterial small subunit ribosomal RNA", at positions 509 to 807 of the family's 1533-position model. The record is from RNAcentral.